UACGUAGGGCGCAAGCGUUGUCCGGAAUUAUUGGGCGUAAAGAGCUCGUAGGCGGCUUGUCACGUCGAUUGUGAAAGCCCGAGGCUUAACCUCGGGUCUGCAGUCGAUACGGGCUAGCUAGAGUGUGGUAGGGGAGAUCGGAAUUCCUGGUGUAGCGGUGAAAUGCGCAGAUAUCAGGAGGAACACCGGUGGCGAAGGCGGGUCUCUGGGCCAUAACUGACGCUGAGGAGCGAAAGCGUGGGGAGCGAACAGG
RNAcentral lists this ribosomal RNA (253 nucleotides) under uncultured bacterium. RNAcentral describes it as "partial 16S ribosomal RNA". It matches the Rfam family "Bacterial small subunit ribosomal RNA", at positions 524 to 776 of the family's 1533-position model. The record is from RNAcentral.